AAUUUUCCCUUCUGGGUCAUUUCUGACCUAUAGAUCUUCAGCCACACCCCAAAUCUUUAACCAUAUUCCAAAGUUAUUAUGAGUAUAUAAAUAACAUUAAAACAUUAAUUCAUAUACAUAGCUUGAAGUGGGGUGACCUUUUCAACACCAAUUUGUGUCUGUGAAUUUUUACAAUAACUGGUAUUUCACAAAUAAAGUUAUGCGUAUUUGGCAUGCUGUCAGGGGGGAGGGCUCCGAGCUCGGAAUAUUGGUCCGAACCCAGAGUACUCCCCCCAGUGUGGUAAAAAUAGAUAGAACUAGAAGUUGUCACAGUUCCCGUGUUCCCCGGACUCCAUUUCCCAUUAUCCUCCUGUUCUCCACACCUGCACCCACUUCCCUCGUCAUCUCCCCAUCAGCACUCAUCAUCUUCACCUGGACGUAAUCAUCUUCACUGCCUUUAUAAUGGACUCACUCCCUGCACUCCCUGUCCGUUCUCUGUUGUGUUAAAUGUAUGUUUUGGUGUUCCUUGCCUGAGUUAAUUAAAGUGGUUCUAUAUUUGUGGAAAUCCGUAUCUGCCUCAUCUCUGCGCCAGCGUACUUGUAACAGAAGUGAGGUGAAGGGGUGGAGGAGGGAUGCUGAUAAACUCUCAGAUGAAGACAAGAUACAGACGAGGGAGGAGAAAAGGAGACGUGCAGACUGUUGUGAAAUCUGGAGGAGGAGGGGAGACACCAGCACAUUUUGAGAACAAAGUGAGAGAAUGUCACACUCACAGCAGCAUGGCUUCAGCCCACCCCACUCCCCUCUCCGCCUGCAGAGAGUAACCCUUUCUCAUUCUGUCCGCUGUGGAGAAUCUUACCCUGUCUCACUUUAUCUGCCUGCAAAAGUCUAACCUUGUCUCACUCUGUCUGCCUGUAGGAGCAGAAGCCUGUCUCACUGUAUCUGCCAGUGAAGAUUUAAACCUCAUCGUCUUCCACCUGGCCAUGUCUUGCUCUAACUUAAAGGGACAGUUAACCCCCCCAAAAAAAAAAAAAUUGUCAUCAUUUACUUACCCUCAUGUCAUUUAAAACUUUAUUAAAUGCAUUUCUUUCUUCAGUUACACUUUAUUUUAAAGUAUCCUUGUUACAGUGUAAUUGCACUAAUGAGUACUGACUAAUAUUAAUUAACUACAUGUACCUACUAUAAGGUUAAGGCUUGGUUUAGUGUUAUUUGCUUAUAAUUAUGCAUAAUUCAUGUGUUAUUAUUAAGAACAUGUUACACCUUUUAGAUAUUUUGAAGAAUGCUGGUAACCAAAAAGUGUUAGUGACUACUGACUUCCAUUUUAUAGGAAAAUAAUGAAACAAACAAACAAAACACUGAGACAUUUUCCCACAUUUUUCAUGUUCCGAAGAAAAAAGAAAGCCGUUUUGGUUUGGAAUGACAGGAGGGUGAGUAAAUGAUGACAGAAGUGUUAUUUUUGUGAACUAUCACUUAGAUGUCACCCUUGUCUCUAGUAGUAUCGUUAAAUGUGGCCUUCUUCUUCCUUUUAUUAAUGAUUCAACCAUUUUUUUCUGUUUCGCAGUGAGGUUAAUAAUCACCUCAGUGCUUCUUAAUAAAGCAUUGCUAAGAAAUCACAUUGAUAAAAUGGCAAAACAUACAAAAGGUGUAUUUAUUUAAAUACGCAUAUAGUGACAGAGAUGGAAGAGGAGACAGAUAAAUGUGAGAACACUCAAUAUGUUGGCUGAGGGAUUGGAAUGCCCCACCUCCCGGUUAAAUAAACCAGUCAGAAAAAUACAGUUGUUCAUGUGAUUUGAGCUCAUUUAAUUUAAGCAAAAUGUACAAUUGUUUUGAGAUUUAAAGAUUGUGAGAUUUCAUUACUGAUUAACAACUUUUUUGUCAUUUUGCCAUUUGGAAAAGAGGCGGUGGAAC
Megalobrama amblycephala (Wuchang bream) is the source of this 1884-nucleotide long non-coding RNA. RefSeq lists it as uncharacterized. The record is from RefSeq and is a predicted model, not a curated record. The transcript has 3 exons. Lineage: Eukaryota; Metazoa; Chordata; Actinopteri; Cypriniformes; Xenocyprididae.